This 2583-nucleotide ribosomal RNA is filed under the name Triticum aestivum (bread wheat). RNAcentral's name for it is "partial small subunit ribosomal RNA". The record is from RNAcentral. Lineage: Eukaryota; Viridiplantae; Streptophyta; Magnoliopsida; Poales; Poaceae.
AUGGAGAUGAAACCCAAAAGAUUUUCGUUGGGGCGUAACCCUCUCAGCGACGCGCCACAUCGGAACCCGGGUGUGGUGGAAAAUGGGCAAGGGCCGGGCCGUCACCCCCCAAGUGGCACGCCGUAUCUUGAUCCGGAUACGGUGCCAAGUGAGCGAGGAUCGGGUCAUCGCAUCCUUAGUGGCGCGCUACAUCGGUGCCCGGAUGUAGUGGAAAAUGAGCAAGGGUCUUCGCAUUUGACUCGACGAGUGCGAAGGGUAAGGAAGCUAGCCGAGCCUAGGAGGAUUCGCUUAGGUAGCUGGAACGUAGGGUCUCUGACAGGGAAGCUUCGGGAGCUAGUUGAUGCAGCAGUGAGGAGAGGUGUUGAUAUCCUUUGCGUCCAAGAAACCAAAUGGAGAGGACAGAAGGCGAAGGAGGUGGAGGAUACCGGCUUCAAGCUGUGGUACACGGGGACGCCUGCAAACAGAAAUGGCGUAGGCAUCUUGAUCAACAAGAGCCUCAAGUAUGGAGUGGUAGACGUCAGGAGACGUGGGGACCGGAUUAUCCUGGUCAAGCUGGUAGCUGAGGACUUGGUUCUCAAUGUUAUCAGCGCAUAUGCCCCGCAAGUAGGCCACAAUGAGAACACCAAGAGGGAGUUCUGGGAAGGCUUGGAAGACAUGGUUAGGAGUGUACCGAUUGGUGAGAAGCUCUUCAUAGGAGGAGACCUCAAUGGCCACGUGGGUACAUCUAACACAGGUUUUGAAGGGGCGCAUGGGGGCUUUGGCUAUGGCAUCAGGAAUCAAGAAGGAGAAGAUGUCUUAAGCUUUGCUCUAGCCUACAACAUGAUUGUAGCUAACACCCUCUUUAGAAAGAGAGAAUCACAUCUGGUGACUUUUAGUAGUGGCCAACACUCUAGCCAGAUUGAUUUCAUCCUCUCAAGAAGAGAAGAUAGGCGUGCGUGCCUAGACUGUAAGGUGAUACCUGGGGAGAGUGUUGUACCCCAGCAUAAGCUGGUGGUUGCUGACUUCCGCUUUCGGAUUCGUGUCCAGCGGGAUAAGCGUGCCAAGGUCGCUAGAACGAAGUGGUGGAAGCUCAAGGGGGAGGUAGCUCAGGUGUUCAAGGAGAGGGUAUUUAAGGAGGGCCCUUGGGAGGAAGGAGGGGAUGCGGACAAUGUGUGGAUGAAGAUGGCGACUUGCAUUCGUAAGGUGGCCUCGGAGGAGUUUGGAGUGUCCAGGGGAAGGAGAAGCGAAGAUAAGGAUACCUGGUGGUGGAAUGAUGAUGUCCAGAAGGCGCUUAAAGAGAAGAAAGAUUGCUUCAGACGCCUAUACCUGGAUAGGAGUGCAGACAACAUAGAGAAGUACAAGAUGGCGAAGAAGGCCGCAAAGCAAGCUGUUGGUGAAGCAAGGGGUCGGGCAUAUGAGGACCUCUACCAACGGUUAGGCACGAAGGAAGGUGAAAGGGACAUCUAUAAGAUGGCUAAGAUCCGGGAGAGGAAGAUGAGGGAUAUUGGCCAAGUCAAAUGCAUCAAGGACGGAGCAGGCCAACUCUUGGUGAAGGACGAAGAGAUUAAGCAUAGAUGGCGGGAGUACUUCGACAAGCUGUUCAAUGGGGAGAAUGAGAGUUCUACCAUUGAACUGAAUGACUCCUUUGAUGAGACCAGCAUGCGUUUUGUGCGGUGCAUCCAGGAGUCUGAGGUGAAGGAGGCUUUAAAAAGGAUGAAAGGAGGCAAGGCGAUGGGCCCUGAUUGUAUCCCCAUUGAGGUGUGGAAAGGUCUCGGGGACAUAGCGAUAGUAUGGCUAACCAAGCUUUUCAACCUCAUUUUUCGGGCAAACAAGAUGCCAGAAGAAUGGAGACGGAGUAUAUUAGUACCAAUCUUCAAGAACAAGGGGGAUGUUCAGAGUUGUACUAAUUACCGUGGAAUUAAGCUGAUGAGCCGUACAAUGAAGCUAUGGGAGAGAGUCAUUGAGCACCGCUUAAGAAGAAUGACAAGCGUGACCAAAAAUCAGUUUGGUUUCAUGCCUGGGAGGUCAACCAUGGAAGCCAUUUUCUUGGUACGACAACUUAUGGAGAGAUAUAGGGAGCAUAAGAAGGACUUGCAUAUGGUGUUCAUUGACUUGGAGAAGGCCUAUGAUAAGAUACCACGGAAUGUCAUGUGGUGGGCCUUGGAGAAACACAAAGUCCCAGCAAAGUACAUUACCCUCAUCAAGGACAUGUACAAUAAUGUUGUGACAAGUGUUCGAACAAGUGAUGUCGACACCGAUGACUUCCCGAUUAAGAUAGGACUGCAUCAGGGGUCAGCUUUGAGCCCUUAUCUUUUUGCAUUGGUGAUGGAUGAGGUCACAAGGGGUAUACAAGGAGAUAUCCCAUGGUGUAUGCUCUUUGCGGAUGAUGUGGUGCUAGUUGACGAUAGUCGGACGGGGGUAAAUAGGAAGUUAGAGUUAUGGAGACAAACCUUGGAAUCGAAAGGGUUUAGGCUUAGUAGAACUAAAACCGAGUACAUGAUGUGCGGUUUCAGUACUACUAGCUGUGAGGAGGAGGAGGUUAGCCUUGAUGGCCAGGUGGUACCUCGGAAGGACACCUUUCGGUAUUUGGGGUCAAUGUUGUAG